GCUGAAAAAGGGCUUCCAGCUGAAUCAAGUUAAAGGUAUGCUAGAGAAAUAGGAGUGUNNNNNNNNNNNNNNNNNNNNUUUUUUUUCUCCUUUUUCCCAAAACAGUCAUGGAGCAAUCGCAUCUCUCUGUUCUUGUUUCAAGCAAGCUGGCAAAUGCUGUUUGAAAUAGCACAGUAUUUCCAGCAUAUGUAGUUGUGAUCAGGCAUGUCAUGGUUGACAAGCUCUUGUAGUCCUCCAGUCACAUCAAUAAUGGUGACCGCCACCUCUCUUUUCCACUCUGGGCCUUCAAAAGCUGUCAUUGAUGGGUUAUCCAGCUUGACAGAUGCAGAACUGAACUGGGCAGUUAUGGUUGCAUGCAAAAGGCUGGAUACCAAAGUGACAAGGGAUACAAACUGUCACAGAGUUCCAUUUCUUGUACACGAUGAAUAAAUAUAUAUAUGUACUGAACUUUCCAUUAAUUGUAAAGCUGAGGAGGCUGAAGAGACAGCUAUAUGCAGCAGACAGCAGGAACAGCAGGACAGAAUUUCCAGCAGAAGCAGAACAGAAAGAAAGAAAGAUCCAACAGUGCUGUGGGGAAAUGCUGAGUUCAAGAAACUGCUGCAGACAUGGAAGCACCACAAUUCUCAGAACUUGCAGAUAUUAGAAACUCAGGGAAUGUUUUGAGAAGAAGCAGUCUGAGAACUGCUGCCUUUCAAGGACAGUGUUAACAGUAUGCAGCACUGAUCAGUUGCCUAUGC
RNAcentral lists this long non-coding RNA (737 nucleotides) under Anser brachyrhynchus (Pink-footed goose). RNAcentral describes it as "lncRNA (ENSABRG00000010795.1)". The record is from RNAcentral. Lineage: Eukaryota; Metazoa; Chordata; Aves; Anseriformes; Anatidae.